ACGCUGGCGGCAGGCUUAACACAUGCAAGUCGAACGGUAACAGGGAUUAGCUUGCUAAUCUGCUGACGAGUGGCGGACGGGUGAGUAAUGCUUGGGAAUCUGGCUUAUGGAGGGGGAUAACUACGGGAAACUGUAGCUAAUACCGCGUAAAAUCUUCGGAUUAAAGGGUGGGACUUUCGAGCCACCUGCCAUAAGAUGAGCCCAAGUGGGAUUAGGUAGUUGGUUAGGUAAAGGCUGACCAAGCCGACGAUCUCUAGCUGGUCUGAGAGGAUGACCAGCCACACUGGAACUGAGACACGGUCCAGACUCCUACGGGAGGCAGCAGUGGGGAAUAUUGCACAAUGGGGGGAACCCUGAUGCAGCCAUGCCGCGUGAAUGAAGAAGGCCUUCGGGUUGUAAAGUUCUUUCGGUGACGAGGAAGGUUGGUAGGUUAAUAGCCUAUCAAAUUGACGUUAAUCACAGAAGAAGCACCGGCUAACUCGUGCCAGCAGCCGCGGUAAUACGGGGGGUGCGAGCGUUAAUCGGAAUAACUGGGCGUAAAGGGCACGCAGGCGGUGACUUAAGUGAGAUGUGAAAGCCCCGAGCUUAACUUGGGAAUUGCAUUUCAUACUGGGUCGCUAGAGUACUUUAGGGAGGGGUAGAAUUCCACGUGUAGCGGUGAAAUGCGUAGAGAUGUGGAGGAAUACCGAAGGCGAAGGCAGCCCCUUGGGAAUGUACUGACGCUCAUGUGCGAAAGCGUGGGGAGCAAACAGGAUUAGAUACCCUGGUAGUCCACGCUGUAAACGAUGUCGAUUUGGGGAUUGGGCUUUGAGCUUGGUGCCCGUAGCUAACGUGAUAAAUCGACCGCCUGGGGAGUACGGCCGCAAGGUUAAAACUCAAAUGAAUUGACGGGGGCCCGCACAAGCGG
RNAcentral lists this ribosomal RNA (907 nucleotides) under uncultured bacterium. Its description in RNAcentral is "bacterial SSU rRNA". It matches the Rfam family "Bacterial small subunit ribosomal RNA", at positions 33 to 932 of the family's 1533-position model. The record is from RNAcentral.